Molecule: ribosomal RNA, 886 nt
Filed under: uncultured bacterium
Lineage: Bacteria
Description: bacterial SSU rRNA
Rfam family: Bacterial small subunit ribosomal RNA
Source: RNAcentral
AACGAACGCUGGCGGCGUGCCUCAUACAUGCAAGUCGAGCGAGAAUCUCAAGCCCCGGCUUGCCGGGAUUUGAGAGGAAAGCGGCGAACGGGUGAGUAACACGUGGGUAACCUGCCCAGAAGUUUGGAAUAAGCCCUCGAAAGGGGGUCUAAUACCGGAAACAUCCCGGGGGGGCCUCUUCCUGGGAUCAAAGGUGGCGUAAGCCAUCACUUCUGGAGGGGCCCGCGGCCUAUUAGCUUGUUGGUGAGGUAACGGCUCACCAAGGCGACGAUGGGUAGCCGGCCUGAGAGGGUGUCCGGCCACACUGGGACUGAGAUACGGCCCAGACUCCUACGGGAGGCAGCAGUAGGGAAUAUUGCGCAAUGGCCUAACGGCUGACGCAGCGACGCCGCGUGGGCGAUGAAGCUUCUUGGAGUGUAAAGCCCUGUCAGGAGGGAAGAACGUUCCGCUAUGGCGGAAUUGACGGUACCUCCAGAGGAAGCCCCGGCUAACUCCGUGCCAGCAGCCGCGGUAAUACGGAGGGGGCGAGCGUUGUUCGGAAUCACUGGGCGUAAAGGGUGCGCAGGCGGAUCGGCCAGUCGAAUGUGAAACCUCCGGGCCCAACCCGGAGCCUGCAUCCGAAACUGCCGAUCUUGAGUACGGGGGAGGGAAGUGGAAUCUCAGGUGUAGCGGUGAAAUGCAUAGAUAUCUGAGAGAACACCGGUGGCGAAGGCGGCUUCCUGACCCGAUACUGACGCUCAGGCACGAAGGCUAGGGGAGCAAACAGGAUUAGAUACCCUGGUAGUCCUAGCGGUAAACGAUGGGCACUAGGUGUUGGAGGUAUCGACCCCUUCAGUGCCGUAGCUAACGUAUUAAGUGCCCCGCCUGGGGAGACGACCGCAAGGUU